ACAAAUAUGAACCGGACUGGGAUAGGGCCUCGCUGCCUUGCCCGUCUGGCGCCAUAUUCACCCAUGUCUUUUUGCGUACUACUUGUUUCCUUGGCGGGUCCGCCCGCCAAUUGGACCUUAUUCAAACCUUUUUUUCAGUUGCAAUCAGCGUCAGCAAAACAAAUGUAAUCAAUUACAACUUUCAACAACGGAUCUCUUGGUUCUGGCAUCGAUGAAGAACGCAGCGAAAUGCGAUAAGUAGUGUGAAUUGCAGAAUUCAGUGAAUCAUCGAAUCUUUGAACGCACAUUGCGCCCUUUGGUAUUCCAAAGGGCAUGCCUGUUCGAGCGUCAUUUGUACCCUCAAGCUUUGCUUGGUGUUGGGCGUCUUGUCUCUCUCCCGAGACUCGCCUUAAAAUCAUUGGCAGCCGGCCUACUGGUUUCGGAGCGCAGCACAUUAUUUGCGCUCUUGUCCAGCCGCGGUCGCGCGUCCAUGAAGCUUCUUUCAACCUUUUGACCUCGGAUCAGGUAGGGAUACCCGCUGAACUUAAGCAU
RNAcentral lists this ribosomal RNA (531 nucleotides) under Pyrenophora tritici-repentis. RNAcentral describes it as "eukaryotic LSU rRNA". The stretch from base 177 to 330 matches the Rfam family "5.8S ribosomal RNA". The record is from RNAcentral. Lineage: Eukaryota; Fungi; Ascomycota; Dothideomycetes; Pleosporales; Pleosporaceae.